AUGGUGAAGAUGUUGCUAAAUCAUCAAAAAUUUAAAAGGCUUUUGGAGCAAUCUGUUUCUACCAUGACCUGGAAGAUAUUCUGUCAAGAAUUAAGAAGAAAGGUGAAGUCUACCUCUGAGGAACACCUCCUACACCGUGCAAAAGCCCAGGUCACGUUACCUCCACCUGUGGAAGAAACGGAGCCGCUCCAGAAGCUUUACAAUCUCCUGGAAGCCAAGGGGUUUCAGACACAGCUGGAAGGAGUGGCAUUCCUUCUCGAGCUGUGCAAAACCAGCCCCCAGCUCAUCUCCACUAACAUUGUCCAAGUAUGUAGGGUAUCUUCAUUGUUCCUUUCCUUUAGCUCCUUUCCCAAGCCUGGAGCAGUGAAGUUCAUUCUGUGUGUCUUGGCACUACAUCCUGGCAGUUUGGGACAGGCUGGUCCCUCUUACACAGACAAAUUUCAUUUGGGUCCAGGCUUCAGAACAAGUUCUUUCAGUCCAGCUGUAUUUGUCAGGCAGGGGCCUAUUGAUGCUGUUCAUCAGAUGAUGACAGAGUUUGCUGCUGCUGUAGCUCCUGCUGUCUCCUACUCCCAGCUGGGUUAAGUGAAGGGAAUACCAGCGCUGAAAGCAUGGCAAUUAUUCUCUCGAUAAAAAAUGGUUGAUCAUGAGGAAGAGAAGUAUCAGGCUGGGUUGGUUUAAACCCAUAUUUUUUGAAAGGUUACUUCUGUAAAGACCACCUUGUCUUGCACAGGCACAGCUCCGGGUU
This 745-nucleotide long non-coding RNA is filed under the name Cyanistes caeruleus (blue tit). Its description in RNAcentral is "lncRNA (ENSCCEG00000007347.1)". Lineage: Eukaryota; Metazoa; Chordata; Aves; Passeriformes; Paridae. The record is from RNAcentral.